GUGCCUAACACAUGCAAGUCGAACGAGAAAGUGGAGCAAUCCAUGAGUAAAGUGGCGACCGGGUGAGUAACACGUGACUAACCUACCUUCGAGUGGGGAAUAACCUCGGGAAACCGGGGCUAAUACCGCAUAAUGUCUUCGGACCAAAGGAGCAAUUCGCUGGAAGAGGGGGUCGCGGCCGAUUAGCUAGUUGGCGGGGUAACGGCCCACCAAGGCCAUGAUCGGUAGCCGGCCUGAGAGGGCGCACGGCCACACUGGAACUGAAACACGGUCCAG
This 276-nucleotide ribosomal RNA is filed under the name uncultured bacterium. RNAcentral describes it as "partial 16S ribosomal RNA". It matches the Rfam family "Bacterial small subunit ribosomal RNA", at positions 44 to 334 of the family's 1533-position model. The record is from RNAcentral.